UACGGAGGGUGCAAGCGUUAAUCGGAAUUACUGGGCGUAAAGCGCGCGUAGGCGGCUUGGUCAGUCGGAUGUGAAAGCCCCGGGCUUAACCUGGGAACUGCAUUCGAAACUGCCGGGCUAGAGUUUGAUAGAGGAGAGUGGAAUUCCACAUGUAGCGGUGAAAUGCGUAGAUAUGUGGAGGAACACCAGUGGCGAAGGCGGCUCUCUGGAUCAAAACUGACGCUGAGGUGCGAAAGCGUGGGUAGCAAACAGG
This 253-nucleotide ribosomal RNA is filed under the name uncultured bacterium. Its description in RNAcentral is "partial 16S ribosomal RNA". It matches the Rfam family "Bacterial small subunit ribosomal RNA", at positions 524 to 776 of the family's 1533-position model. The record is from RNAcentral.